This 501-nucleotide ribosomal RNA is filed under the name uncultured bacterium. RNAcentral's name for it is "partial 16S ribosomal RNA". It matches the Rfam family "Bacterial small subunit ribosomal RNA", at positions 899 to 1397 of the family's 1533-position model. The record is from RNAcentral.
ACUCAAAUGAAUUGACGGGGACCCGCACAAGCGGUGGAGCAUGUGGUUUAAUUCGAGGCAACGCGAAGAACCUUACCAGGCCUUGACAUGGGUAGUAUGGGGUGGAGAAAUUCAUUCCUUCAGUUCGGCUGGCUACCACACAGGUGCUGCAUGGCUGUCGUCAGCUCGUGUCGUGAGAUGUUGGGUUAAGUCCCGCAACGAGCGCAACCCUCAUCCUUAGUUGCCAUCAUUAAGUUGGGCUACUCUAAGGAAACUGCCGGUGGUAAGCCGGAGGAAGGUGGGGAUGACGUCAAGUCUUCAUGGCCCUUACGGCCUGGGCUACACACGUGCUACAAUGGCAAUUACAGAGGGAUGCUAACCCGCGAGGGCAUGCUAACCCCUAAAAAUUGUCCCAGUUCGGAUUGUACUCUGCAACUCGAGUGCAUGAAGUUGGAAUCGCUAGUAAUCGCGGAUCAGCACGCCGCGGUGAAUACGUUCCCGGGUCUUGCACACACCGCCCGU